UACAGAGGGGGCAAGCGUUAUUCGGAAUUAUUGGGCGUAAAGGGCGCGUAGGCGGCUUGGCAAGUGGAUGGUGAAAUCCCUCGGCUUAACCGAGGAACUGCCGUCCAAACUGCUUCGCUUGAGACCGGGAGAGGUGAGUGGAAUUCCCAGUGUAGCGGUGAAAUGCGUAGAUAUUGGGAGGAACACCAACGGCGAAGGCAGCUCGCUGGGACGGUACUGACGCUAAGGCGCGAAAGCGUGGGGAGCGAACAGG
This 253-nucleotide ribosomal RNA is filed under the name uncultured bacterium. Its description in RNAcentral is "partial 16S ribosomal RNA". It matches the Rfam family "Bacterial small subunit ribosomal RNA", at positions 524 to 776 of the family's 1533-position model. The record is from RNAcentral.